Molecule: small nucleolar RNA, 136 nt
Organism: Bison bison bison
Lineage: Eukaryota; Metazoa; Chordata; Mammalia; Artiodactyla; Bovidae
Gene: U8
Rfam family: U8 small nucleolar RNA
About the family: U8 is a member of the C/D class of snoRNA which contain the C (UGAUGA) and D (CUGA) box motifs. U8 is the RNA component of a small complex (the U8 snoRNP) which is required for accumulation of mature large subunit ribosomal RNAs, 5.8S and 28S rRNAs.
Source: Ensembl
UUGUCAGGUAAGAUAAUUCUCACCUGUUCCUCUUUUUGGAGGGCAGAAUAGAAUGUGAUGAUUGGAGCUCGAAUGAUUUAUGAUUAAGGGCUCUCCAUAAUCAGGACUUGCAACACCCUGACUGCACCUGUCUGAU